This 161-nucleotide ribosomal RNA is filed under the name uncultured Chlamydiales bacterium. Its description in RNAcentral is "partial 16S ribosomal RNA". It matches the Rfam family "Bacterial small subunit ribosomal RNA", at positions 350 to 504 of the family's 1533-position model. Lineage: Bacteria; Pseudomonadati; Chlamydiota; Chlamydiia; Chlamydiales. The record is from RNAcentral.
AGCUGCGUCGAGAUCAUUCGCAUGGGCGAAGCCUGACGAUGCGACGCUGUGUGAGCGAUGAAGGCCUUCSGGUCUUAAAGCUCUUUCGCUUGGGAACAAGAGAUGCUGGCUAAGAACAGACAMAUUUGAGGGUACCAAGUAAAGAAGCACCGGCUAACUCC